AACCCAUGGUGAGGGCAUCUUCUCAAUAAAAAUUUAUACCUCUCCCUUACAUCAUAUAAGGUCUCUAAGUCGAUCUGUAAGAAAGAAGAGAUAUCAUUCGUCAACUU
Molecule: small nucleolar RNA, 107 nt
Organism: Gossypium raimondii (Peruvian cotton)
Lineage: Eukaryota; Viridiplantae; Streptophyta; Magnoliopsida; Malvales; Malvaceae
Rfam family: Plant small nucleolar RNA R71
About the family: R71 is a member of the C/D box family of snoRNAs containing the C (UGAUGA) and D (CUGA) box motifs. Multiple nearly identical copies of this snoRNA have been identified in Arabidopsis, and it is thought to function as a 2'-O-ribose methylation guide for 18S ribosomal RNA.
Source: Rfam